UGGGGGAUAUUGCACAAUGGGCGAAAGCCUGAUGCAGCGACGCCGCGUGGGGGAUGAAGGCUUUCGGGUUGUAAACCUCUUUCGCUAUCGAACAAGGCCCGCUUAGGGUGGGUUGAGGGUAGGUGGAGAAGAAGCGCCGGCUAACUACGUGCCAGCAGCCGCGGUAAUACGUAGGGCGCGAGCGUUGUCCGGAAUUAUUGGGCGUAAAGGGCUUGUAUGCGGCGUGUUGCGCCUGCUGUGAAAACGCGGGGCUUAACUUCGCGCGUGCAGUGGGUACGGGCAGGCUUGAGUGUGGUAGGGGAGACUGGAAUUCCAGGUGUAGCGGUGGAAUGCGCAGAUAUCUGGAGGAACACCGAUGGCGAAGGCAGGUCACUGGGCCAUUACUGACGCUGAGGAGCGAAAGCAUGGGUAGCGAACAGG
Molecule: ribosomal RNA, 420 nt
Filed under: bacterium
Lineage: Bacteria
Description: partial 16S ribosomal RNA
Rfam family: Bacterial small subunit ribosomal RNA
Source: RNAcentral